GAUGAACGCUGGCGGCGUGCCUAAUACAUGCAAGUCGAGCGAAUGGAUUAAGAGCUUGCUCUUAUGAAGUUAGCGGCGGACGGGUGAGUAACACGUGGGUAACCUGCCCAUAAGACUGGGAUAACUCCGGGAAACCGGGACUAAUACCGGAUAACAUUUUGAACCGCAUGGUUCGAAAUUGAAAGGCGGCUUCGGCUGUCACUUAUGGAUGGACCCGCGUCGCAUUAGCUAGUUGGUGAGGUAACGGCUCACCAAGGCAACGAUGCGUAGCCGGCCUGAGAGGGUGAUCGGCCACACGGGGACUGAGGCACGGCCCAGACUCCUACGGGAGGCAGCAGUAGGGAAUCUUCCGCAAUGGACGAAAGUCUGACGGAGCAACGCCGCGUGAGUGAUGAAGGCUUUCGGGUCGUAAAACUCUGUUGUUAGGGAAGAACAAGUGCUAGUUGAAUAAGCUGACACCUUGACGGUACCUAACCAGAAAGCCACGGCUAACUACGUGCCAGCCGCCGCCGUAA
Molecule: ribosomal RNA, 515 nt
Filed under: uncultured bacterium
Lineage: Bacteria
Description: partial 16S ribosomal RNA
Rfam family: Bacterial small subunit ribosomal RNA
Source: RNAcentral